RNAcentral lists this ribosomal RNA (736 nucleotides) under Salmonella enterica. Its description in RNAcentral is "bacterial SSU rRNA". It matches the Rfam family "Bacterial small subunit ribosomal RNA", at positions 1 to 726 of the family's 1533-position model. Lineage: Bacteria; Pseudomonadati; Pseudomonadota; Gammaproteobacteria; Enterobacterales; Enterobacteriaceae. The record is from RNAcentral.
AAAUUGAAGAGUUUGAUCAUGGCUCAGAUUGAACGCUGGCGGCAGGCCUAACACAUGCAAGUCGAACGGUAACAGGAAGCAGCUUGCUGCUUUGCUGACGAGUGGCGGACGGGUGAGUAAUGUCUGGGAAACUGCCUGAUGGAGGGGGAUAACUACUGGAAACGGUGGCUAAUACCGCAUAACGUCGCAAGACCAAAGAGGGGGACCUUCGGGCCUCUUGCCAUCAGAUGUGCCCAGAUGGGAUUAGCUUGUUGGUGAGGUAACGGCUCACCAAGGCGACGAUCCCUAGCUGGUCUGAGAGGAUGACCAGCCACACUGGAACUGAGACACGGUUCAGACUCCUACGGGAGGCAGCAGUGGGGAAUAUUGCACAAUGGGCGCAAGCCUGAUGCAGCCAUGCCGCGUGUAUGAAGAAGGCCUUCGGGUUGUAAAGUACUUUCAGCGGGGAGGAAGGUGUUGUGGUUAAUAACCACAGCAAUUGACGUUACCCGCAGAAGAAGCACCGGCUAACUCCGUGCCAGCAGCCGCGGUAAUACGGAGGGUGCAAGCGUUAAUCGGAAUUACUGGGCGUAAAGCGCACGCAGGCGGUCUGUCAAGUCGGAUGUGAAAUCCCCGGGCUCAACCUGGGAACUGCAUUCGAAACUGGCAGGCUUGAGUCUUGUAGAGGGGGGUAGAAUUCCAGGUGUAGCGGUGAAAUGCGUAGAGAUCUGGAGGAAUACCGGUGGCGAAGGCGGCC